UCUAACUUGUGUGUGUAUGAAUUCACCGUUUAGAAGAGACAACUCUUAAAUAUGUUGGAUCUUUAAAGAAGUUUGUCCCUAAAAUUAUACAAAUAUAAGAUACAUGGAUGAAAAAUAAGGUAAAAUAAAAGCUCUUCUAUAUGCAUCCAUUUAGUACUAAAACAAAUCAAAUCACAUAUGGCACAUGAAACAAAAUGUUUAUAACCAAAACACUUACAAAAAUCACGUAGAUUAUGGCUCUAAUUGGUAGAAAUUAAGUUUUCACCAAUAGGUCAGUGUAUGGCAUUGCCUUUGCCUUACGCAACAGUUUUCUUUUGAAACAACAAGGCUUUGUGAAAAUUAUACUUGUAGCUACCUCUUAGAGAACGAUUUUUUAAAUUUACAAUGACAACAGUUUUACGUUGUUGCGAAGUUAAAACCGUUUUUCUAUUUAUUUUAAUUAAGGUACGACAACGCUAUAUAACUAUUUUGUUGUAAUAUACUAUAAUAAAUUUAAUAUUACCUAGAACAAUCCACUAAAAAUACAAAACGCAAAGAACACAACAUUAUUAAUCUGCAUUCAUAUCCUGGACCUACAAAUAAGAUUAAAGCAAAGGAUAUCAAACAAAGUUAGAACAUUAUUAAUCUAAAAUCAUAAUUUUCAAGAUAAUUUUCACAUAAAGGCAAGAUUUAAUCCAUUAGUUAGCCGAAAUUCCACAAGGCAAAUAUAAACACACAUGCAUAAACAAUUGUAUAGUUGAGAUGUUUUCAAUAUUGCAGCAUAGAGAUGCACAAAACUUCAAUUACCAAGCAAAAAUAAACCAACAAAUUCAAUGAUGAAAACCAAUUAAAAGCACCCCAAUUGUAUAGUCGAGAUCCAUUAGCUUAAAAAUGGUUUUUUCCUUCCUUAUGCACUCUUUUUAACUUUUGAAUACUUUUUCUCCUAAAUGUUUCAAUCAAUCUUCG
RNAcentral lists this long non-coding RNA (945 nucleotides) under Cicer arietinum (chickpea). Its description in RNAcentral is "long non-coding RNA (CARI_LNC002992)". Lineage: Eukaryota; Viridiplantae; Streptophyta; Magnoliopsida; Fabales; Fabaceae. The record is from RNAcentral.